GGCCUUGUAGCUCAGUUGGCUAGUGUUAGCUGUAGUAAAGCAUUCCCCUUGCUGGCGUGGGUUCGAGUCCCACCGAGGCCA
Molecule: transfer RNA, 81 nt
Filed under: Schistocephalus solidus
Lineage: Eukaryota; Metazoa; Platyhelminthes; Cestoda; Diphyllobothriidea; Diphyllobothriidae
Rfam family: tRNA
About the family: Transfer RNA (tRNA) molecules are approximately 80 nucleotides in length. Their secondary structure includes four short double-helical elements and three loops (D, anti-codon, and T loops).
Source: Rfam by way of RNAcentral